GAUGAACGCUGGCGGCGUGCCUAAUACAUGCAAGUCGAGCGAACAGACGAGGAGCUUGCUCCUCUGACGUUAGCGGCGGACGGGUGAGUAACACGUGGAUAACCUACCUAUAAGACUGGGAUAACUUCGGGAAACCGGAGCUAAUACCGGAUAAUAUAUUGAACCGCAUGGUUCAAUAGUGAAAGACGGUUUUGCUGUCACUUAUAGAUGGAUCCGCGCCGCAUUAGCUAGUUGGUAAGGUAACGGCUUACCAAGGCGACGAUGCGUAGCCGACCUGAGAGGGUGUGCGCCAACCCGGAAACGGGAACCCGUCCAAGCCCCCAGGGGGGGGCGGCGGUGGGGAAUCUCCCGAAGGGGGCAAAGGCCGGACGGACCAACGCGGCGGGAGAAAGAAGGUUCUUGGUAUGGAAAACUUUUUUUAUGGGGAAAAAAAAAUUGUGUAGGAACUUAUCCCGGUUUGGCCGGUCCUAAAGAAAAAGCCCCGGCCAAUCGCCG
Molecule: ribosomal RNA, 495 nt
Filed under: uncultured bacterium
Lineage: Bacteria
Description: partial 16S ribosomal RNA
Rfam family: Bacterial small subunit ribosomal RNA
Source: RNAcentral